GUGCAAAGCAAAAUGGGUUUUUAGCAUGAUGCCGGUUGUGCUGCAGCAACACCCACUGCCCAUGAACGGUCUCGUCUCCUCUUUUAUAACAGCAGUAUCCGUCGCGGGAAUCGGUAUCGUCGGUGUCGCUAUGAUGCCAUGUGUCGUGACGAGGUGGAUGAAUUGGCGAUCAGAGACAAGGUGUAUCCCACGUGCGCACGUGUCUAGGUCAGGAUUGCGCACAACUUCGGUGUGCUCGGUCUCCAGGAAGCUGGCGCAUGGCAUUAGCUGGCAGCAAAACAAGGCAGCCGCAACCUGUAGUGCAAAGCAGAAUGGUUUUUUUGUAUGAUACCGGAUGUGCUGCUGCAACACCCACUGCCGAUAAACGGUCUCGUCUACUCUUUUGUAACAGCAGUAUCCGUCACGCG
This is a long non-coding RNA of Dermacentor silvarum, 407 nucleotides long. RefSeq lists it as uncharacterized. The transcript is spliced from 3 exons. Lineage: Eukaryota; Metazoa; Arthropoda; Arachnida; Ixodida; Ixodidae. The record is from RefSeq and is a predicted model, not a curated record.